CCCUUAGACGUUCUGGGCCGCACGCGCGCUACACUGACCAGUGCAACAAACAUCCGUCCUUGGCCGACAGGCCCGGGCAAUCUUUGAACGCUGGUCGUGAUGGGGAUAGACUUUUGCAAUUUUUGGUCUUCAACGAGGAAUUCCUAGUAAACGCAAGUCAUCAACUUGCAUUGAUUACGUCCCUGCCCUUUGUACACACCGCCCGUCGCACCUACCGAUUGAAUGGUCCGGUGAAGCCUCCGGAUUGGCGCGCACCUCGGUGCCGCCGAGAAGUUGGCUAAACCUUACCAUUUAGAGGAAGGUGAAGUCGUANCA
RNAcentral lists this ribosomal RNA (315 nucleotides) under uncultured eukaryote. RNAcentral describes it as "partial 18S ribosomal RNA". It matches the Rfam family "Eukaryotic small subunit ribosomal RNA", at positions 1470 to 1796 of the family's 1831-position model. The record is from RNAcentral.